This 460-nucleotide ribosomal RNA is filed under the name uncultured bacterium. Its description in RNAcentral is "partial 16S ribosomal RNA". It matches the Rfam family "Bacterial small subunit ribosomal RNA", at positions 338 to 795 of the family's 1533-position model. The record is from RNAcentral.
CCUACGGGUGGCAGCAGUGAGGAAUAUUGGUCAAUGGACGAGAGUCUGAACCAGCCAAGUAGCGUGAAGGAUGACUGCCCUAUGGGUUUUAAACUUCUUUUAUAUGGGAAUAAAAUGUUCCAAGUGUGGGAUUUUGUAUGUACCAUAUGAAUAAGGAUCGGCUAACUCCGUGCCAGCAGCAGCGGUAAUACGGAGGAUCCGAGCGUUAUCCGGAUUUAUUGGGUUUAAAGGGAGCGUAGGUGGAUUUGUCAGUCAGGUGUGAAAGUUUGCGGCUCAACCGUAAAAUUGCAGUUGAAACUGGCAGUCUUGAGUACAGUAGAGGUGGGCGGAAUUCGUGGUGUAGCGGUGAAAGGCUUAGAUAUCACGAAGAACUCCGAUGGCGAAGGCAGCUCACUGGACUGCAACUGACACUGAGGCUCGAAAGUGUGGGUAUCAAACAGGAUUAGAUACCCCAGUAGUC